RNAcentral lists this small nuclear RNA (115 nucleotides) under Sinocyclocheilus anshuiensis. Its description in RNAcentral is "U5 spliceosomal RNA (ENSSANG00000017046.1)". It matches the Rfam family "U5 spliceosomal RNA". Rfam says of the family: U5 RNA is a component of both types of known spliceosome. The precise function of this molecule is unknown, though it is known that the 5' loop is required for splice site selection and p220 binding, and that both the 3' stem-loop and the Sm site are important for Sm protein binding and cap methylation. Lineage: Eukaryota; Metazoa; Chordata; Actinopteri; Cypriniformes; Cyprinidae. The record is from Rfam by way of RNAcentral.
ACACUCAUGUUUCUCUUCAUAUCGUAUACAUUUUUCGCCUUUUACUAAAGAGUUCCGUGGAAAAAAGCACAAAGAGUAUAAACUAAUUUUUGAUGUCAUGCUUAAUUACGGGGCU